UGAGUACAGGAGGCUAAGCUCUUGGAGCUU
Molecule: non-coding RNA, 30 nt
Filed under: Rattus norvegicus (Norway rat)
Lineage: Eukaryota; Metazoa; Chordata; Mammalia; Rodentia; Muridae
Source: RNAcentral